RNAcentral lists this ribosomal RNA (483 nucleotides) under uncultured bacterium. RNAcentral's name for it is "bacterial SSU rRNA". It matches the Rfam family "Bacterial small subunit ribosomal RNA", at positions 56 to 518 of the family's 1533-position model. The record is from RNAcentral.
UGCAAGUCGAACGCGAACGGGGCGUCGGCCCCAAGUAGAGUGGCGCACGGGUGAGUAACGCGUGGACAAUCGUGCCCUUAUGACUGGAAUAACAGUUGGAAACGGCGUGCGUAAUACCGGAUACGCUCAGGAAGAACUUUUUGAGGAAAGGCGGCCUCUGCUUGCAAGCUGUCGCAUAAGGAUGAGUCCGCGUCCCAUUAGCUAGUUGGCGGGUAACGGCCCACCAAGGCAACGAUGGGUAGCCGAUUUGAGAGGAUGAUCGGCCACACUGGGACUGAAACACGGCCCAGACUCCUACGGGAGGCAGCAGUGGGGAAUAUUGCGCAAUGGGCGAAAGCCUGACGCAGCGACGCCGCGUGAGGGAUGAAGGUUUUCGGGAAUCGUAAACCUCUGUCAGAAGGGAAGAAACUGCCGUGCUCUAAUCAUCAUGGCAUUGACGGUACCUUCAAAGGAAGCACCGGCUAACUCCGUGCCAGCAGCAGC